AAAACAUCGGCCGGUAAGUCUUUCAUGACCCCCACAUUCACGUGUCCAGAGCCCACCCCCCAAUCCAAGUGAACCCGGGCAACCGGUAAACGGAACACUGCACCUCCCGCCACCCUCACUGCCACAGUAUCUCCAGUGUGUUGGUGUUCGGACACAAGGUUCUUUUGGAGCAAGGUCAUAGUGGCUCCGGUGUCUCUCAGUCCAGUUACCGCUUUGCCAUUUAGUUU
Non-coding RNA from Pelobates cultripes (western spadefoot toad), 227 nucleotides. The record is from the annotation of a GenBank genome assembly. NCBI's taxonomy places the organism in Eukaryota, Metazoa, Chordata, Amphibia, Anura, Pelobatidae.